This is a non-coding RNA of Danio rerio (zebrafish), 82 nucleotides long. Lineage: Eukaryota; Metazoa; Chordata; Actinopteri; Cypriniformes; Danionidae. The record is from Rfam.
GAUGAGGUGGCUGAGUGGUUAAGGCGAUGGACUGCUAAUCCAUUGUGCUCUGCACGCAUGGGUUCGAAUCCUAUCCUCAUUG